Equus caballus (horse) is the source of this 2519-nucleotide long non-coding RNA. RefSeq lists it as uncharacterized. Lineage: Eukaryota; Metazoa; Chordata; Mammalia; Perissodactyla; Equidae. The record is from RefSeq and is a predicted model, not a curated record.
UAAGGAACAGUGUGGAUCUCAUAACAGCCUACAGAGCCCAUUCUGGCCAUUAGCUCUUGCUCCUCGCAGGCCCCCUGUGAGUCUUUAUUGCUACCUCCAGGUUGCGGGGGGGAGGGGAAUGAGCAAAGUUCUGGGAGCAAGAGGCCUCUGCUGGGCGUGGCAGAGCAGGUCCCCAUGCCAGGGCCGUGAGUCGCCUCCCAGGAUGCCGGCUCCCAUCCCGUGGUCUUUCCAUGGUGUGUUGCCAGCCAGUUGGAGGAAGAUGAGAAAACGGAGGCACGAAGGACAUUAAAAUCUUUGCCCAAGGUUACAGAGCAGCCCACAUCCAGUCCAUGAGGAAAUCUCAUUCGUUCUGCCUUCAAAACAGAUCCAGAAUCCAGCCGCUCCCCAGCACCCCCACGGCAUCUACCCUGGUCUGAGCUGCCUCGUUUCUCGCCCGGAUCAUUGUAACAGCAUCCUAACUGGUCUCCCGCCCUCGCUCCCUUGACACACAGCCAGGGCGAUCCUCUUACAGUCUCUUUUCUUCCUGAGAGUUCAGAGGGCUGCACAUCCACGACCUCGUUCAUCCACGAGACCUCCCUCUGGGAUGGGGGGCAGGACCACCAUGCGCAGAUGUUCUGAAACUGCUCCGUCAUUGCCCUCCCCUCCACCGCCUUCCUUCUUCAGUCUCUAUUACGUCCCCUUUCUUCUCUCAAUUUAAUUCAGCAAAGGCUUAAGAGGCUCCUCCCUGGUACAAGGACUGGGCAUUCAGGAAGCUUCUAGAUUUCCCCAGGGCCAAAGUCAUUUCCUGUCUUCUAUGGUUUCAGAGCACUUUCUUCCUACCCGCGUUUAUACACACACAUACCGGAUUGUUUCUGUAUCUACAAUCCUGGAGGGUGGGGCUGGGUCUUACUUAAGCUUGCAUUCCCCCCCUAGUGCCUAGGCCAGGGCCUGGCAUUUGGGAGUCUGGAGAAACGCUUGCCCAGGGCAAAGGUACCCCUGACUGUGCCAGUUACCCGGAGGAAGAGCCCAGAGGGGUUCUGUAUACACAGCACCUGGCACAUAGGAGCUACUCAAUGUCUGCUAAAUGGAUCAAGAAAAAAACGAAGGAAGGAAGAUGAGGGCAGAUAGUGAUGGGCCAGCCUUGCCUUUAAAGAGCUCCUGAUCCAUUGCAUGGGUGGGGGAGGUGGGCACAGAUCAGCACUGGAGAGGUGUGCAAAAUACGACUGAAGUAGACAAUUCCAUCAGAGCAGUGUUGAGGAAGUACCGUGGGGCCACAGAGGAGUUCAGACUCACCUGGGAGAAGCAGGGACGGCUCCCUGGAAGAAGUGGCAUUUGAGGUGGGCUUUGAAGGGUGGAAACACAUGGCAGAAACUCAGGCACAGUUUUUAGCUGAAGGUAGGCAUCAGGCAAGACAAGGAGGGCAGAGUCCUCAUCCUCGGGAGGACUGUGUUUCAGGCAGAGUUUCUUGUACCUGACUCCACAGGCAGUGUGGAGCCAUCGAAGGCCUUGGGGCUGGGGAGCUGGGGAGCAGCAUGACCAGAUCUUGUCGCAGAAAAUCACAGUGAGGGAGGGCAUUGGACUGGAAUGAAGGAGAAGAAGGCAACAGAAGCUGCUGCUGAGGAGCAGGGUGAGAGGGUUGUGAAUGUCUGACUUAGGGAGGCAGCUGCCAAGUUUGCGAUGGGGGUGUGAGAGGCUCCACAGAGAAAGGGUCUGAAGGAUCUGGAAACCGAUUCAAUGUGGGGGAGGAGCAGCAGGACGCUCAGGGGAACUGAUCUGAGGCCUGGGAGCGUAAGGAGGCCUUGAUAGGCACGGAGUCAUCCCAGGCAGGGGCUGCUUCCAAGGAAGGUAAUGAGUUCAGCCCACCUGGAUGGAGAUGCUUCAUGAAGAGGGCAGAUGCCAGCUUGGGAGGGAGGUCGGAGCCCCCGGGACAGAGUUGGGAGUUGGGCGGAAGUAAAAGCUGAGGCCGUGGGAGUGGAUGAGCUCACACAGGAGAGAGUGUGGGAUGAGAAAGAAGAUGGCGGCUGAGGACAGAGCCUUCGGGGAUGCACACAUUUGAGCGGGGCGGGAGCAGGAAGAAAGGGGAUCCAGGCGGAAAUGGACCAGCCAGAGAGGUGGGGGGUGGUCCCUCAUCUUCUCCCUCUUUUCCUCUGCUGCCCCACCUCUGCUCCACCCCCCAUCUCCCAUGAGCCGGGGCAGACUGGGCAGAAGAGCAGACCCUGGAGCCUGGCCAGCCUCCAAAAAGCUCCAAGAUGAAAGGUAGAGAAGCCCAGUGGUUGAACGCUUGGGCUUUAGAACUCGUCAGAGCUGGGUGCGACUUCCACCUGCCCCCUCCCUCACCCUUCCUGGCUGUGUGACCUCAGGCAAGCCACACCCCCUCUGAUCUGAUCCUCAGCCUCCUCACCUUCCCGAGGGGAUCACAAUGGGGCUUCUUCAUCGGGCUGCUGUGACUAUUAAGUGGGAUAAUGCGUGUUAUGCACUUGGCAUUCGGGCCCGGCAAGCCCUCAGAGCUCAAUAAACAGUGGCUGCUGCUCUUAUGAUUA